AUACCGCAUACGCUCUACGGGGGAAAGCGGAGGAUGUUGGGGACCUUGGGGUUAUUAGAUAAGCCUGCGUUAGAUUAGAAAGCUGGGGGGUAAUGGGUCUACCAAGGCGACGAUCUAUAGCUGGUUUGAGAGGAUGAUCAUCCACACGGGUAUUGAGACACGGUCCAGAUUCCUACGGGAGGCAGCAGUGGGAAUAUUGCACAAUGGGGGCAACCCUGAUCCAGCCAUGCCGCGUGUGUGAAGAAGGCUUUAGGGUUGUAAAGCACUUUCAGUUGGGAAGAAAAGAGGUUGUUUAAUACCCGCAUUCCUUGACGGUACCAAUACAAGAAGCACCGGCUAACUCCGUGCCAGCAGCCGCGGUAAUACGGAGGGUGCAAGCGUUAAUCGGAAUUACUGGGCGUAAAGCGUGCGCAGGCGGUUUGUUAAGUCAGAUGUGAAAGCCCCGGGCUUAACCUGGGAACUGCAUUUGAUACUGGCAAACUAGAGUGUGGUAGAGGGAAGUGGAAUUCCUCAUGUAGCGGUGAAAUGCGUAGAUAUGGGGAGGAACACCAGUGGCGAAGGCGACUUCCUGGACCAACACUGACGCUCAGGUACGAAAGCGUGGGUAGCAAACAGGAUUAGAUACCCUGGUAGUCCACGCCGUAAACGAUGUCUACUAGCCGUUGGGGGGCUUGUCCCUUUAGUGGCGCAGCUAAC
This 696-nucleotide ribosomal RNA is filed under the name uncultured Gammaproteobacteria bacterium. Its description in RNAcentral is "bacterial SSU rRNA". It matches the Rfam family "Bacterial small subunit ribosomal RNA", at positions 166 to 856 of the family's 1533-position model. The record is from RNAcentral. Lineage: Bacteria; Pseudomonadati; Pseudomonadota; Gammaproteobacteria.